Molecule: ribosomal RNA, 447 nt
Filed under: uncultured bacterium
Lineage: Bacteria
Description: bacterial SSU rRNA
Rfam family: Bacterial small subunit ribosomal RNA
Source: RNAcentral
GUCCAGACUCCUACGGGAGGCAGCAGUAGGGAAUUUUGCGCAAUGGGCGAAAGCCUGACGCAGCAACGCCGCGUGAUCGAGACGCCCUUCGGGGUGUAAAGAUCUGUCAGUGGGGACGAAACUUGACGGUACCCACAGAGGAAGCACCGGCUAACUCCGUGCCAGCAGCCGCGGUAAUACGGAGGAUGCGAGCGUUAUCCGGAUUUAUUGGGUUUAAAGGGUGCGGAGGCGGUCUGUUAAGUCAGCGGUCAGCCCCCGGGCCCCCCCCCCGGCCCGCCGUUGAAACUGGCAGUCUCGAGUUGGAGAGAAGUAUGCGGAAUGCGCGGUGUAGCGGUGAAAUGCAUAGAUAUCGCGCAGAACUCCGAUUGCGAAGGCAGCAUGCCGGCUCCACACUGACGCUGAGGCACGAAAGCGUGGGUAUCGAACAGGAUUAGAUACCCCAGUAAG